UACGAAGGGGGCUAGCGUUGCUCGGAAUUACUGGGCGUAAAGGGCGCGUAGGCGGCUUGAUAAGCGUGCGGUGAAAGCCCGGGGCUCAACCCCGGGUCGGCCGUGCGAACUGUCGAGCUGGAGCACUGUAGAGGCAGGUGGAAUUCCGGGUGUAGCGGUGGAAUGCGUAGAGAUCCGGAAGAACACCGGUGGCGAAGGCGGCCUGCUGGGCAGUGGCUGACGCUGAGGCGCGACAGCGUGGGGAGCAAACAGG
Molecule: ribosomal RNA, 253 nt
Filed under: uncultured bacterium
Lineage: Bacteria
Description: partial 16S ribosomal RNA
Rfam family: Bacterial small subunit ribosomal RNA
Source: RNAcentral